Molecule: ribosomal RNA, 525 nt
Filed under: Trigonisca aff. longicornis CR-2009
Lineage: Eukaryota; Metazoa; Arthropoda; Insecta; Hymenoptera; Apidae
Description: Celetrigona aff. longicornis CR-2009 partial 16S ribosomal RNA
Rfam family: Bacterial large subunit ribosomal RNA (bases 373-525)
Source: RNAcentral
GUCUUAUUGAAAAUAAUUUUAAGUCAAUCUGCCCAAUGAGUAAUUAAAUGGCUGCAGUAUAAUUACCUGUACAAAGGUAGCAUAAUCAAUUGGUUUUUAAAUGAAAUCUGGAAUGAAGGGAUUAAUGAAAUAUAUACUGUCUCAAAUAUAUAAUAUAAAUUUAAAUUUUUAAUAAAAAUGUUAAAAUUUUUUUAUGGGACGAUAAGACCCUAUAGAAUUUUAUAUAAAUUUAUUUUUAUAAUUAAUAUAAUUAUUAAAUUUAUAUUUAAUUGGGAGGAUUAUUAAAUUUAAUAAACUUUAAUUAAAAUAAACUUUAAUUAAAGAAAAAUAUUUGAUCUUUAAUUUAAAAUUAUUAGAAUAAAUUCCCUUAGGGAUAACAGCGUUAUAUUUUUUUAUAGAUCUCAUAGAAAAAAAUGAUUGCGACCUCGAUGUUGAAUUAAGAUAAAUUUUUAAUGAAGAAGUUAAAUAAUUAAGUCUGUUCGACUUUUAAAAUCUUACAUGAUUUGAGUUCANAUCGACGUAAGU